GGGUGUUGCUGAAGGACACCUGGGACCAGGCCUCUGAAGAUGGGGCAGUCCCAGCUCAGGGGCCAGCCAGCUGUGUUUGGAAAGGCCACAGCAGCCCAGCUGUUACGUCUGGCUUGAUCUCAGGGAGCGUCGUCACGGGUGACUGAGAACCGGGGCUUGAACAGCACGUUAAGGAAAUCCUCCGCCGAGUCCAAACGAGACGCGUUGCAGUGGGGGCCGGGGGAACAAGAGGGCAGCUGCACGGCGUGUCGCUUCCAUUUGCAAUGAGAUGAAACCACGGUGAUGGGCGCAGGAGAAGAACCAACUGGACUAGAAACAGAAUCCUCUCCACAGUAACGUGAAAGGACACAGCAUUAACCCAGAACAACAGAGACCUUUCCUGCCAGCUUUCCAUUGGGUCUGCUGACCAGGAGAAAAGGGAGCAAUGGAGGAGGAUAAGGAAAGAGAAACUGAGUGACUUCUCUGCCUCAAUCUUCACUACAAGGGACAGUGAGG
Molecule: long non-coding RNA, 495 nt
Organism: Mauremys reevesii (Reeves's turtle)
Lineage: Eukaryota; Metazoa; Chordata; Testudines; Geoemydidae
Exons: 4
Source: RefSeq, a predicted model, not a curated record